RNAcentral lists this unclassified non-coding RNA (614 nucleotides) under Hevea brasiliensis (rubber tree). Lineage: Eukaryota; Viridiplantae; Streptophyta; Magnoliopsida; Malpighiales; Euphorbiaceae. The record is from RNAcentral.
UAUUUCCAAGCACUAUACAAGUUGAUGAUUUAUUAAUCACUAAGCUAUAGCAUUAGCACCCCCAUAAGCCUUUUGCCCAUCUACAAGACUACUACAACUGCCUACCACUGUUCUAUUACUUCAUUCCAUUCCAUUUCCAUAUGUUGAGUUGCAUUCAAAUGGGAUUUGGUAGAUUUUCCUGAUUGGAAUAGGUCCAUUAAUAUCCUUCUAACUUUUUCUGGCAUUUGUUGUUGGUCCCAACCUUUCAAUCCGAAUACUGGGCAGAAGGACCAUCCCUACAAAACUUGAGGGUCUACAUGUAACAACUAGAUCGAUAGAUUCCUCAAUCUUCAUCUACUUAAUUUGACAUAGCAAUUACAUAUGUUCAAGCAUUAUGGUGAACAGUGCUGUUGGAACCUUUAUCUUUGCAAAUUUAGUUGAACACCAGAAACAGUAGCUCCAUAAAUGUAUACUUGAAUUUCAGUUGAUUUAGGAGCCGUUUUUUGUGCAGCUAAUUACAGGUAUAAUUGAGCUAGGUCAAGGCUAGAUUGGCUAUUUAGCUGACUGCAGCAAAAGGAUAGCUACAACACUAUAUAAUCCCUCAGCAUCAACAGAAUGAGAAACUGGUGACAGAG